Molecule: transfer RNA, 62 nt
Filed under: Archotermopsis wroughtoni
Lineage: Eukaryota; Metazoa; Arthropoda; Insecta; Blattodea; Termopsidae
Description: tRNA-His
Source: RNAcentral
AUUUAAGUAGUUUAAUUAAAAUAUUGAUUUGUGGUGUCAGUGAUGCUUUGCUGCCUUAAGUU